GAAGGCCCCGUCUAGCCUCCAGCCGCUGCUGCUCGUGCUGGUGCUGGCUGGGUGUAGCGACAGCAGCGACGGUGGUGGCGGCGGCGGCGGCGGCGGCGGCGGCGGCGGCGGCGUCGUCGUCGUCGACGACCAUUUCUUUAGUGAAUGGAGCACCGGAAGCGAGAACGCUGGCUAGUUUUGCCAAGCACAUGCUUUUCCAGCCGAAACCGCUUCCCUGCACUGAGUGACGGUGCUGUUCACAUACAAGGCUGCACAGGAGGAGGUGGAAACGGUGUAUGAAAAACAGAAAAAAAUAAUUUAACGACACCAAACGAAGUUCUGGAGUACUCUAUAUAAGUUGGUUGUCGUAAUAUUUGACAAGGAAAAGAAGAUGCUUGUUUUCGACGACUUCCGCCAGACUCGCUAUCUGUAUUUACUCCAAGACUACUUCCCCGAGUUUAACUCACGGGUUUGUCUAUACUUCAAGCUCUACCACAAACAGCGAUGUAUAAGGCACUGCUGUUCGUUUCGAUGGUUUCAUCUUCAUGUUUACUGUGCUAUUCUAGCGUCAGUCUGGGCUCCAUAAUAGGAUUAUUUAUCAAAGAUUCGCUAGCUGACGUUUUUUCGUUCAAAAUCCUAAUUAACAGAUCAUGUGGAACGCCACUGCGGCAAUAAUCGUAUUCACAGCAGCGAAUCGAGCUUGCGUUUUUGCCUACCUAUACCUCAGUAACAUUGUUUCCCCGAUUAUCACAUAAAUUAUACAUGGUCCCACAACUUCAUUGCCCCUUUAACGAGCCCAAUUGGAACGUUGUCUUCUCUUUUUUCAUCUCACUCCCUCUAUGUUUCGCAUGUUAACUGCGUUCUAUCUUAUGGAUCCGUAUGCGGUCAUCCAUUACGCCUAUCACCAAGCCGAUAAAGUUCCGUUAAUACGACAUCUUGUCGCUAGUGCAAAUCCUACGGCUAAUACCUCGCUCAUUUGUAGUUACUGUUUGCCUCAUUUUUUAUAUACACGAUCUUCGCCAACUCGGUCUGAUGUAAACGUCUAUAGAGACAAUUAAUAGUGAAAUGUGGACAUCGGCCAGACUGUAGAAUUAGAUGAUGCAGUUACUCAACUGUAGACAUCAUUUGAAAAGUAUCUAAUCAGACGGAGUGCAAAAAGCACAUAAUUAAGGCGAGAACAGAUUGGCAAGGCUUCCGUUAGGACGCGUCAACAAAAUAAUCAGACGCUGCUUGUAGAACUAGAAAAGUCGGGCGUCUACAAGAUAUUCGUCGUGGUCACAAUGUUUACACGGAACUCGUGGUCGUCGGAUCUUGAUGUGACGCAUGACUCAUUCAGGUGUCGUGCGAAACAGCCAAAAUGGCUUUUCGGCGACUGGAUGUCUAUUGUUCGCAGCUAUCUAUCUGACUCGGUUUGAAGUCCCAAAACUUAUUAAUGAGCUGUAGGAAAUGUCUGUUAAAAAAUGAGGCAAUUAAAACGUAUACGCGAUAACCGGCAGUGUAAUAAAGUGCGAUAGCUGAAUGAUGGGGUAAAGGGAAAAGAAAAAGCUAGAAAGGAAAAGCACGAUAGUUGAAAGAAAAAAAAAGGGCAUGGAACCUAGAGGAUCUAACAAUUCGCAGUGAUUUUUUCCCGACACUUUCAUAUUUGUACAAGCAUCCAAUAUCUGCUCGCCGAUCGCAAAAAAUAACCGAAAAGCUUAUGACUAUGACUUAGUUUUAAUGGCGUUAUUUUGGAAAUUCUGUAAUUUCAAUGUCAAAUUCGUUGACGAAAUGACGAGAAGAUGCGCCUAGCUUUGGUGUCGUUUCUUCUUUAGUUCUACACCACAAAGUUUUAUUAACCAACAGUGAGAUCUGGGCACUGCUCAAAUGUAAAAUUCUAUGUGUAGGCUAAAAAAAAAGAUGGAUCCUUCAACAUUAAGGGCAGGGCAUCCUGUUUUUAGAGGAACAUGUUUGAGUCUAGCUUUCUAUCUAUAGAAACAUAGUAACUUAGUAAAAGGAAAUAUAUCGUAUCAGCUUUCUCACAGUUGCUGCUAAUGAUUACGGGAGGUACCACGCCUUAAAUUAAAGUAUCUUAUUGCGGCUUUGCUCUUUUUCCCAUAAACCCAAAGUGGUGUUGCUGUUCAAAUGGCAUAAGAUCUUCAUAAUUACAUUAAAUUGUUACAUACCGAUGUAAUUGUUGGAUGAUUUCUAAAAUGCAUUGUCUUCAAGCGUCGAUAAUCAUUAGGGCAAGAGCAGGAGAACAAGGACAUGGCCGACCAAGUGAACAGUGUACUUUUCACGUGUCACGAUACCUCGAGUAUUUUAUUAUAGUCAAUUUAUGUACAAGUAGAUUUUUAAAUCUACGUUACUAUGGCCAAUGUUUGACACUAAUUGUUGAAAGGGAAAGUUGCUUGCAAAAAAAAAAAUCAGCCACAAGCUGAUCUAUUAGUAGAGGGCAAAUUUUAAUAAACGGUGUCUGUAGAAAAAAAAUUGUUUUCACUGAAUGUCGAUGUCAUUUUGGUUUUUUUCGUUCGAAAUUUAACCGCAUGUAGCAGUGAUGUCGGUAACAAUAGCAUGCGCGUCGAGCUGAAUAUGCAUCUUCACAUUACUACUCAUACAGAUGAGAGAGCGAAGAACUAUCAAGCGGCUGAAUGCGUCGGAAUCUUCACUAUCACUCCA
Varroa destructor (honeybee mite) is the source of this 2634-nucleotide long non-coding RNA. RefSeq lists it as uncharacterized. Lineage: Eukaryota; Metazoa; Arthropoda; Arachnida; Mesostigmata; Varroidae. The record is from RefSeq and is a predicted model, not a curated record.